AUCAACUUUCGAUUGGUAGGAUAGAGGCCUACCAUGGUUUCAACGGGUAACGGGGAAUAAGGGUUCGAUUCCGGAGAGGGAGCCUGAGAAACGGCUACCACAUCCAAGGAAGGCAGCAGGCGCGCAAAUUACCCAAUCCCGACACGGGGAGGUAGUGACAAUAAAUAACAAUAUAGGGCUCUUUCGGGUCUUAUAAUUGGAAUGAGUACAAUUUAAACCCCUUAACGAGGAACAAUUGGAGGGCAAGUCUGGUGCCAGCAGCCGCGGUAAUUCCAGCUCCAAUAGCGUAUAUUAAAGUUGUUGCAGUUAAAAAGCUCGUAGUUGAAUUUCGGGACCAAUAUGUCGGUCGUGCCUCGGUACGUACUGGCAUCGUUGGUUUCUCCCUUCUGACGAACCAUGAUGUCAUUUAUUUGGUGUCGUGGGGAAUCAGGACUGUUACUUUGAAAAAAUUAGAGUGUUUAAAGCAGGCUCACGCUUGAAUACAUUAGCAUGGAAUAAUGAAAUAGGACGUUUGAUUCUAUUUUGUUGGUUUCUAGGAUUGACGUAAUGAUUAAUAGGGAUAGUUGGGGGCAUUAGUAUUCAAUUGUCAGAGGUGAAAUUCUUGGAUUUAUUGAAGACUAACUACUGCGAAAGCAUUUGCCAAGGAUGUUUUCAUUAAUCAAGAACGAAAGUUAGGGGAUCGAAGACGAUCAGAUACCGUCGUAGCCUUAACCAUAAACUAUGCCGACUAGGGAUCGGAUGAUGUUAAUUUUUUAAUGACUCAUUCGGCGCCUUACGGGAAACCAAAGUGUUUGGGUUC
Molecule: ribosomal RNA, 799 nt
Filed under: uncultured Glomus
Lineage: Eukaryota; Fungi; Glomeromycota; Glomeromycetes; Glomerales; Glomeraceae
Description: SSU rRNA
Rfam family: Eukaryotic small subunit ribosomal RNA
Source: RNAcentral